AUGUGCUUCCAUAGCACCUUCAUGCCUGGGACGCCGAAGAUUUCAAUCCUGGGUUGCUGUCAUGGUGGUGAUGAGUCUCAGAAAUCUCAGAACCAUGGAGCCUGCAUGUGGCUAAGAGCUUGGGCUCUAACCUCAGAGUCUGAACCCCUAUUUUUGCCUAAGGAAUGUGGUUUUCCUAGGCUUCAAACCACUCAACAUGUGUGGCCUCCAACAGACCUGAAGCCACGGGCAAGAAGAAUGAAUUGGAAGAGCAGUACCAGAAAAAUGCAGCUUACUCGUCAUUUGCCAGAACUGAGUCACGAGGGCCACCUCUACCUGCAGGGCGAUCUGAGAAGGUACGUUCGCUUUCUUGCAUCUCUAAAAAGGGAAAGAGAAUGGAAAUCAAUGUUGGAAUGA
This 396-nucleotide long non-coding RNA is filed under the name Ursus thibetanus thibetanus. RNAcentral's name for it is "lncRNA (ENSUTTG00000019743.1)". The record is from RNAcentral. Lineage: Eukaryota; Metazoa; Chordata; Mammalia; Carnivora; Ursidae.